Molecule: ribosomal RNA, 467 nt
Filed under: uncultured bacterium
Lineage: Bacteria
Description: partial 16S ribosomal RNA
Rfam family: Bacterial small subunit ribosomal RNA
Source: RNAcentral
GAUGAACGCUGGCGGCGUGCUUAACACAUGCAAGUCGAACGGAAAGGCCCAAGCUUGCUUGGGUACUCGAGUGGCGAACGGGUGAGUAACACGUGGGUGAUCUGCCCUGCACUUCGGGAUAAGCCUUGGAAACUGGGUCUAUUACCGGAUAGGACCACUUCUUGGAUGUUGUUGUGGAAAGUUUUUUCGGUGUGGGAUGAGCUCGCGGCCUAUCCGCUUGUUGUUGGGGUAAUGGCCUACCAAGGCGUCGACGGGUAGCCGGCCUGAGAGGGUGUUCGGCGACAUUGGGACUGAGAUACGGCACAGACACCGACGGGAGGCAGCAGGGGGGAAGAUUGCACAAUGGGCGCAAGCCUGAUGCAGCGACGCCGCGUGGGGGAUGACGGCCUUCGGGUUGUAAAAUCCAUUCGCUAGGGACGAAGCGUUUUGUGACGGUACCUGGAGAAGAAGCACCGGCUAACUACGUG